This 227-nucleotide ribosomal RNA is filed under the name uncultured bacterium. RNAcentral describes it as "partial 16S ribosomal RNA". It matches the Rfam family "Bacterial small subunit ribosomal RNA", at positions 107 to 334 of the family's 1533-position model. The record is from RNAcentral.
UGAGUAACACGUAUCCAACCUGCCGUCUACUCUUGGACAGCCUUCUGAAAGGAAGAUUAAUACAAGAUGGCAUCAUGAGUCCGCAUGUUCACAUGAUUAAAGGUAUUCCGGUAGACGAUGGGGAUGCGUUCCAUUAGAUAGUAGGCGGGGUAACGGCCCACCUAGUCUUCGAUGGAUAGGGGUUCUGAGAGGAAGGUCCCCCACAUUGGAACUGAGACACGGCCCAG